This 105-nucleotide small RNA is filed under the name Marmota monax (woodchuck). The record is from RNAcentral. Lineage: Eukaryota; Metazoa; Chordata; Mammalia; Rodentia; Sciuridae.
AUCACUUCUCAGCCUUUUGGCUAAGAUCAAGUGUAGAACCACCCCUCCUCACCCGACAGGCAUACCAUGUUUUUAGAUUCUAUCUUCACUUCUCUUCUACUUAUU